UUACGGCCACAUCACGUUGACACAUCAGUUCCCGUACGAUCACCGACGUUAAAGCAACAUUGAGCCAGGUCAGUGCGGAGAUGGGUGACCACUUGUUAAUACCAGGCGCUGUAG
Molecule: non-coding RNA, 114 nt
Organism: Acanthosepion pharaonis
Lineage: Eukaryota; Metazoa; Mollusca; Cephalopoda; Sepiida; Sepiidae
Source: the annotation of a GenBank genome assembly